CACGGGGGGAGCAAGCGUUGUUCGGAAUCACUGGGCGUAAAGGGCGUGUAGGCGGGAAGGAAAGUCAGAUGUGAAAGCCCUGGGCUCAACCCAGGAACUGCAUUUGAAACUCCCUUUCUUGAGUGUCGGAGAGGAAAGCGGAAUUCCUGGUGUAGAGGUGAAAUUCGUAGAUAUCAGGAGGAACACCGGUGGCGAAGGCGGCUUUCUGGACGACAACUGACGCUGAGACGCGAAAGCGUGGGGAGCAAACAGG
RNAcentral lists this ribosomal RNA (253 nucleotides) under uncultured bacterium. RNAcentral's name for it is "partial 16S ribosomal RNA". It matches the Rfam family "Bacterial small subunit ribosomal RNA", at positions 524 to 776 of the family's 1533-position model. The record is from RNAcentral.